This 301-nucleotide ribosomal RNA is filed under the name uncultured bacterium. Its description in RNAcentral is "partial 16S ribosomal RNA". It matches the Rfam family "Bacterial small subunit ribosomal RNA", at positions 509 to 807 of the family's 1533-position model. The record is from RNAcentral.
CAGUCGCCACGGUAAUACGUAGGGUGCAAGCGUUAAUCGGAAUUACUGGGCGUAAAGCGUGCGCAGGCGGUUCACUAAGACAGAUGUGAAAUCCCCGGGCUUAACCUGGGAACUGCAUUUGUGACUGGCGGGCUAGAGUAUGGCAGAGGGGGGUAGAAUUCCACGUGUAGCAGUGAAAUGCGUAGAGAUGUGGAGGAAUACCGAUGGCGAAGGCAGCCCCCUGGGCCAAUACUGACGCUCAUGCACGAAAGCGUGGGGAGCAAACAGGAUUAGAUACCCCUGUAGUCCCUGUCUCUUAUAC